GAUAAACGCUGGCGGCGUGCUUAACACAUGCAAGUCGAACGAAGUUUUUCCUUCGGGAGAAACUUAGUGGCGGACGGGUGAGUAACGCGUGGGUAACCUGCCCUGUACAGGGGGACAACAGCUGUAAACGGCUGCUAAUACCGCAUAAGCCCUUAGCACUGCAUGGUGCAUAGGGAAAGGGAGCAAUCCGGUACAGGAUGGACCCGCGUCUGAUUAGCCAGUUGGCAGGGUAACGGCCUACCAAAGCGACGAUCAGUAGCCGAUCUGAGAGGAUGUACGGCCACAUUGGGACUGAGACACGGCCCAGACUCCUACGGGAGGCAGCAGUGGGGAAUAUUGCACAAUGGAGGAAACUCUGAUGCAGCGACGCCGCGUGAGUGAAGAAGUAUUUCGGUAUGUAAAGCUCUAUCAGCAGGGAAGAAAAUGACGGUACCUGACUAAGAAGCACCGGCUAAAUACGUG
RNAcentral lists this ribosomal RNA (462 nucleotides) under uncultured bacterium. RNAcentral describes it as "partial 16S ribosomal RNA". It matches the Rfam family "Bacterial small subunit ribosomal RNA", at positions 28 to 507 of the family's 1533-position model. The record is from RNAcentral.